Molecule: non-coding RNA, 85 nt
Organism: Lichtheimia ornata
Lineage: Eukaryota; Fungi; Mucoromycota; Mucoromycetes; Mucorales; Lichtheimiaceae
Source: the annotation of a RefSeq genome assembly
GGUGAGGUGGCCGAGUGGUCUAAGGCGGUAGGUUUAGGCCCUACUAUCUUCGGAUGCGUGGGUUCAAAUCCCACCCUCAUCAACA